Molecule: transfer RNA, 73 nt
Organism: Camelus ferus (Wild Bactrian camel)
Lineage: Eukaryota; Metazoa; Chordata; Mammalia; Artiodactyla; Camelidae
Rfam family: tRNA
About the family: Transfer RNA (tRNA) molecules are approximately 80 nucleotides in length.
Source: Rfam
GAGGGUAUAGCUCAAGCGUUAGAGCGCAUGCUUAGAGUGCACAGGGUCCUGGGUUCAAUCCCCAGUACCUUCU